AUGGCCUCCUCUAGCUCUUCUUCCUCACGAUCUCAUUAUUCCGCUAGUAGAGUUCAAGGUGCACCAGUGAGAUCGCCGAUAAGGUACCGGCAAGGUCCGCUAGACUAUGAGCCAUAUGACCCGUUUGAAUGCAGGCCGCCUAAGAAAGCAGCCAUGUGGAUCUCGUGGAGCGACGAAAAUCCAAGGAGGAGGUACAGAAGUUGUUACUAUUCACGGAGGGGAGGUUGCCAGUAUUUCAUAUGGCAUGACGAUCCAAUCGAUGAUCCGUUCCUUAAGCAGCUGGUACUGGAUCUGAGGGACCAAGUGUGGCUGCUUGAGAGGUUGAACUCGAACCUGCAUGAUGCUAAUGAGCCAUUGCAUGUGCAACCCGCAGCUGACUCGUCGUCUCCGUGA
RNAcentral lists this ribosomal RNA (393 nucleotides) under Triticum aestivum (bread wheat). Its description in RNAcentral is "partial small subunit ribosomal RNA". The record is from RNAcentral. Lineage: Eukaryota; Viridiplantae; Streptophyta; Magnoliopsida; Poales; Poaceae.